Molecule: long non-coding RNA, 2343 nt
Filed under: Piliocolobus tephrosceles (Ugandan red Colobus)
Lineage: Eukaryota; Metazoa; Chordata; Mammalia; Primates; Cercopithecidae
Description: lncRNA (ENSPTEG00000017454.1)
Source: RNAcentral
AUGAAUAAUGGAAAUAUCCAAAUUUUUGAUAACGAAUUAAAGUGUUAUGCAUGGUUUGAAAAUAAACAACUAGGAGCUAUCAAAUCGAUAUCAUUUACAUUUUCUAAUUAUGAUCAAGGUUUUUUUUUAUGGAACUCUUUUAUUUUUUUUACGGACAAAAAUAUAAUCAAAAAAAUUCGCCCUUCUAGUUUUUAUAACAGUAUUAAUUCGGCUGAGGAGGGACUAUUGAUGAGCGAUUCAGUUUGUAUUGGGGCUGAUUCUACGACUAUUUCGGAUACUACCAAUAUGAGUACUACCAAUGGAAAUAACAAAUUAAACCAAAAAGACGAAACCCAAAUAAACGAAAUAUUACUACAUUUUAACAGCACUAACAUUAGUUGUAUAUGUACAAAUCCAGUGCAGAGUGAAAAUGUUAUAUAUAUUGGUAAUUCUAGUGGAUUAAUUGAGGUUUUUGACCUUGAUAAAAACGAUAAAGUGAAUAUUAUUAAUUUAAAGGAAAAAGAAAUUAUAUGUAUGGUUUUCAGUAAUAAUGGACAUAUUUUAUGUGUUGGUUGUACAUUUGGUUUUAUUUAUUUAAUAAAUGUAAAUAAUUUAUAUAUUUUUUUUAGUGCAAAAGAUAUGAAACACGAAAUUGCUCAUUUAUAUUUUAGUGAAGAUGACAAAAUACUUAUUUGUUCUUCUAAAAAUGGAAAUAUAAUCAUAUACAAAAAUGAAAAUAAUAAUACGUUGGUAGGUGAUUGGAAAUAUGCUUAUAAAAUUAUUAACAACAACAACAUUAUAUUUAAUGAUUUGAAUAUUGUUAGAAAUGGAUGUAAAAAUUACUCUAUUAUUGGUACUGAUGUAGAUUAUGAAAGUGGAUACAGAGGUGACAGUAAAGACAAAACAGAAGAUAUCAUAUAUACUAUUGUUGGAAUUACCAACAACAGACACAUCAUUUUUCAUCAUUAUAACUUCAACGAAAACAGCGUGACUAUUUCCUAUUUACAAUUAGAACAGAUAUAUACACCUACAUGUAUAUCUGAAACUCUUUAUUUUUACAAUCGGAAAAUUUUAUGUAUUUGUAAUGAAGCUUCAAAAUUGAGAUUUUUCGAUUUGGAAACAAAAAAAAUAAUUAAAACUGUACAGUUGCCUUUUAAAGAUAAAACUGUACAAAAAUUUAUAGCCCUUGUCGAUUGUGAUACAAAAGAGGACGUGUGUGCUCAUAAUUUUAAUACUAAUAAUACCACCGCAGAAGUAACAACAAUCUGUCAAAAUAAUAAAAUGCAUAAAACUAGCUCAUAUAAAAAUAUAAAAAACAAUUUUAAAAAAAAUAAUAUUUUUCUGUUUGCUUUGAACGAACAAAUGAUUGUAUUUACACAAAGCCCAAUAGAUGCUAAUUGCUUACGAUAUAUUGGUGGUAUUGUAUGUAGUGGAAAAAUAAAAAAUGUUCUAUACAAAAAUAAAAGAGUUUUUAUAUUAACAAAUAAUAAAAUAUUUUAUUAUAAUAUUAAUACUGAAGUGCUAAGAACAAGCAUUGAGGUUCAAAAUAAUACACUAGAGACUUUUAUAGAAUUAAUAGGAGGGAAAAAUAGUCAAAUGUAUAAUCAAAUAAUGGACUCUUUUUAUUAUUGCGAAAUUCAAAAAAAAAAAAAUGAACAAAAAAAAAAUAAACAUACCAUCAAAAAAUUGUUAAAUGUGUUAUCUAUUGAAUAUAUAUUUGCUUCAAUCAGCGUAUUUUUAUCAAAAUUCGAAAUACAGAAUAUAAUACAAGAAUACCAUUUUUAUUAUAAAUAUGUUAUUCCCUUGAUUAAAAAUAACAAAAAAGUUAUUAAUGAAAUUUUACAAAUGGAAGAUAAGAACUUAAUAAAUUACAACUCAGACUGUGACAUUCUGCUAGAAAAUGUGUACUUUGUGCAUUCAAAUAAGGAAGAAGAACCAGGAAGAAGCCUCAAUAAAAACGACGUACGACUAACCGACAGUCAAACACACAUGAAAAACUAUCAGAAAAAAAAAGUGGAACUAAACGAAUAUAAUAAAAAUAAUAUAAACAAAGAAGAGGCACACAACAACGAUGACGACUUUGAUAUAACAACUGAAUGUGCAAAUAUAUUUUUUAAUAUUAAUGCAUUUAUAUAUACCUAUUUUAAUUUUGCGAUGGAAGAAAUAGAAGAAGUUAAUUUCGAAAAUAUAAUCAAAAAUGUAGAAACUUAUUACAAAGAAAUAAAUAAAAAAACAAAAGUUUCUUAUAGUGAUUUUUUACGUAUGUUAAAAACUUAUGGAGAGCAGAUGGACCAAAAUGAGUUCAAAAGUGUUUAUCAAAUUUUUACAAAAACAGAAAAUACAUUUAAUACGAAAGAUUUAUUU